RNAcentral lists this ribosomal RNA (380 nucleotides) under uncultured bacterium. RNAcentral's name for it is "bacterial SSU rRNA". It matches the Rfam family "Bacterial small subunit ribosomal RNA", at positions 29 to 400 of the family's 1533-position model. The record is from RNAcentral.
AAUGAACGCUGGCGGCGCGCCUAAUACAUGCAAGUCGAGCGAGAAGACGUAGCAAUACGUUUGUAAAGCGGCGAACGGGUGAGGAAUACAUGGGUAACCUACCCUCGAGUGGGGAAUAACUAGCCGAAAGGUUAGCUAAUACCGCGUACGCUCCUUGGACUUCGGUUCAGGGAGGAAAGCGAUACCGUGGGUAUCGCGCUCUUGGUUGGGCUCAUGUCCUAUCAGCUUGUUGGUGAGGAACGGCUCACCAAGGCUUCGACGGGUAGCUGGUCUGAGAGGACGAUCAGCCACACUGGCACUGCGACACGGGCCAGACUCCUACGGGAGGCAGCAGUAAGGAAUAUUGCGCAAUGGGCGAAAGCCUGACGCAGCGACGCCGC